UGAUCCUUAGCAUUUAUUGAAUUUGAUGAACGAUGAAGUCAUACAGUGUGACAUAAGUUAGAAAAUAAAUACCCUUGAAUAUAUCACAGACCAUGUUUUUCCUCUGACGUCUGACAAGCCCAACAUAUCAUAGUGUAAUCCUCAAUAUACAAUGUGAAAAAAUGACAAACAUUGGAAAGUAGGCAAAUGGAUUACUUAUAAUACAAAUAUAAAAAGCAGGGGUGUAUUCUAUGAGGUUAAACAUUAACAACAUUUCAGGUAGAAAUGUAACGAUUAGAGCUGACAGGACUCAGUUCUACAUGACAAACAUACCUGAUCUAGACAAAACAUUUUUAUAUAUCUAUAAUAUUAUCUUUCUAUAAUGUUUUCUAUGUUUCUCUCUGUAUUGUUGGUGAAGGGCCCAUCAGGAAGCAUUUCACUGUUAGUCUACAGCUGUUGUUGACCAAGCAUGUGACAAAUUUACAUUAGAUUGGAUUUUGAUUUAACAGACCCCAGGAGUUAACGGUCUCUCUUGUCUCUGAGAUGCUCGGUCACAUUCCCAUAGCGUCCAAUGGGUUUUCUAUCGGUUGUUAUAGAUAUCUUAUAGGAUCACAUUUCUUAUAUAGAUGCACAAUGGUAGCAUGCUAAAAGGCACCCUUGAUCACCAGGGGCCAUAGGACUCUAGUGCACUACUUUUGAUCACCAGGGGCUAUAGGACUCUAGUGCACUACUUUUGACCACCAGGGGCCAUAGGACUCUCGUGCACUACUUUUGACCACCAGGGGCUAUAGGACUCUAGUGCACUACUUUUGAUCACCAGGGGCCAUAGGACUCUAGUGCACUACUUUUGACCACCAGGGGCCAUAGGACUCUCGUGCACUACUUUUGACCACCAGGGGCCAUAGGACUCUAGUGCACUACUUUUGACCACCAGGGGCCAUAGGACUCUGGUCAAAAGUAGUGCACUAUAGAGGGAAUAGGGUGCCAUUUCAGACACAAAUAAUGUUUGACGGACAGACGGUAAGAGAAACAUGUAUCAAUCACACAUCUACCAAUCACAUCACUGCCUGUCAUCAAACAGGAACUAGUCACCUCUCAUCACCAUUCUAACACGCUGACUAGAAUGGGCGCGUGCCUCAGGACACGCAGGUUGAAAUAUCAAAACGAAUUCAGAACCAACGACAUCAUUUUUGGGGACAUGUCGAAAAGCAUUAAACAUAUAUGCCAAUUUAGCUAGCUUGCUGUUGCUAGAUCAUUUGUCCUGGGAUAUAAACAUUUGGUUGUUAUUUUACCUGAAAUGCACAAGGUCCUCUACUCAGACAAUGGAUCCACAGAUAAAACGGUCAACCGAGUUUGUUUCUACUAAUCUCUCCUCCUUCAGGCUUCUUAUUCUUCUUUGGACUUUAUAUGGGGGUUGGCAACCAACUUUAAGGUGCAUUACCACCACCGACUGGAGUGUGGACCUCAGUUCAUCUUUCAAUCACCCACGUGGGUAUAUGAUCCUAAAUACCAAUGAGAAGAUGGUAGAGGCGGGACUUGCAGCGCAUCAAAGCGUCACAAAUGGAACCAAGAUCUAUUUUAGCGCCUGGCUACGCAGACGCUCGUUGACGCGCGUAUGCAGUGUGUCUGCAAUGAUUGAAUAACAUGUAUGUGUACAUUUAUUUUGUAACGCUCGCACACGCUCGCUCAGCAUGGUAGUAAAGAGAGGUUUGAACGUAUAGCCUGGUCACAGGUUUGUUUGUGCUGUAUAGCCAACUCCUAUGAUUGUUGUCAUUGGUCAUUGCCGUGUUUGGCCUGACAAUGAGCAUUUAGUUGGCUCAACAGCGCAAACAGAUCUGAGACCAGGCUAGUUUGAACAUGGAGUGAUGUUAAUACUUACAUCAGAACUGAUCAGAUUCAGUACAUAGUGUUGCCAUACUGUAGCAAGCACCAAUCAGAACGCACGUUUGGUCUGAGAUGAAAACAUUUCUUUAGCAUAUAAUAAAAAAUGUCUAAAAUACAUUCAAAAUAAAGGAAAAUGUUUGAUAUAGAAGCCUUUGGUUUAGAUGAAAGCAAGGGUUUUCUUUAAAAGAUGCAACCGCUAUUAUAAUUGAUCUACAGUUUGGAAAGGUUUUAAAGCUCAUGCAGUCUUCUGUUAACCAUGCAGUUUUUGGUUGCCAUAUAGAGAUAUGUAUUCAUUAUCUAUACAUUAUCAGUUGGUUUUCAGUGAUGGAAGUUUGGAAACUCUCUUAAAUGGUGUGGUUUGUUUGGAUGGGUUUUCCCAUGUUUCUUUAAAUUAAAUAAAAAGACUAUCCAUACAUCUUGAUGCUAACAGAGUUGUUUGUUGUCCGGUACAGUAAAUUGUCAGUACAGUAAAUUGACAGUACAGUAAAUUGACAGUACAGUAAAUUGACAGUAUAGUGAAUUGUCAGUACAGUAAAUUGACAGUACAGUAAAUUGACAGUACAGUAAAUUGUCAGUACAGUAAAUUGACAGUACAGUAAAUUGUCAGUACAGUAAAUUGUCAGUACAGUAAAUUGACAGUACAGUAAAUUGACAGUAUAGUGAAUUGUCAGUACAGUAAAUUGACAGUACAGUAAAUUGACAGUAUAGUGAAUUGUCAGUACAGUAAAUUGACAGUACAGUAAAUUGACAGUAUAGUGAAUUGUCAGUACAGUAAAUUGUCAGUACAGUAAAUUGACAGUAUAGUGAAUUGUCAGUUCAGUAAAUUGACAGUACAGUAAAUUGACAGUAUAGUGAAUUGUCAGUGCAGUAAAUUGACAGUACAGUAAAUUGACAGUAUAGUGAAUUGUCAGUGCAGUGAAUUGUCAGUGCAGUAAAUUGUCAGUACAGUAAAUUGUCAGUACAGUAAAUUGUCAGUAUAGUGAAUUGUCAGUGCAGUGAAUUGUCAGUACAGUAAAUUGUCAGUACAGUAAAUUGAUAACAAUAGUACUUCAGUUUAAUCAUCAUGGCUUGGCAAAGGAACACAUUAUUAUUGUCUUUAAUGUUUCAGGAUAUUCUGUCAUGUUCUUCCUAAAUACAACCCACUGGUUGAAUCAUCAUUGUUUCCACGUAAUUUCAAUGAAAUGACUUUGAACCAAUGUAGAAUAGACCUUGAAUUGACGUCUGUGCCCAGUGGGAAUCAAUCGUAGUAUAGUGACAAAGAGAAACAAAAAAUAAGAUACACAAUAAAAAACAUAGAUAUCAUUGGUUUUGACAUGUUGCUCUAUAAAGUUGCUUGCAAUACUCUAUUUGACAGUGUUUCUUUCUUCGUUUUAGAUAUAGUUUACUUUUACUUGAGUUUCUCUGAAUGGUAUUUUUAAUAGACCUCACUCAUUUUUCUUUUGAAUAGCAUACAUUAUACAAACAAACCUAUAUAGGCACCAUCUCAGACUCUCGUUCUCACUAAAUUCACACUAAAUACACAGCCCUUCAAUCCUGUGGGAGGGUGCUACCGGCUACUUUGCUCUGUUUGUCAACACAACUCCCUUGCUGGAAAACUACUCCAGGUAAACCUAUGAGGUUGACGGGGAUUGGAUGGCCACUGUACAAUACCUAUAUUUGGCCUUUUCAUAGGUUUUCUAUGCUUAGUGUUAGGACAGGGUCAUGUUCAUUAGGCACCAAAUAGAAUAACCCGCUCUAAACCCGGAGUGAAAUGUGGAGAUUGACUGGGGAUUGACUCUCUGUCCAAUAAGAAACUCAAAAUGUUUUCUUUGCAAAAUGUUUUAAAAACGUUUUCCCUAAUGAACAUGACCCAGAUGUUAACUUUGAUCUUUAACCUUUAACCCCACUGACCUUCAUGAAAUCAAAGAAUACAACAAACAACAUACACAGACAGCCAUGUUGUAAAUAUCGGUAAAGAGAUCGAGACCAUCUGUCUUCUCCAUAUCUUUUUAAAAUAGAUGAAUGAAUAUCUUAUUUUACAAAAGUUUCUAAGAAACAGGUACCUGUAAUUCUAUUGCUAUAAGAAUGCACUGUUUUUUAUUGUUUUUUUAUAGAAUAGUUAAAUGCAUAGCACCAUGCAUAGAUUGCCCUCACGGCAAGAGCAAUGGAUGUACUGGUAUCAUGACGUGAGGGGUUUCGCAUGGGUUCCCUCAAACUUGGAUGUCACUAGCUACCACAGCCACAAAUUCAAAGGUUUAGCCAUACUUAUGAUUAUGUGACUGGGGUAACUAGUGACGGCCCUCAACCUCACUGUGAACUGUUGCAUCAUGGGUAUUUGGUGGAACAGGACAUAUUUUGUCCAACCACUCUUCUGGGCCAUAAGAGAAACCACAUAUGGUAAAAACACAUCAUUUACCUGAUGGUCAGCUAGCUACUGUACAUGGUAGAUAUACUUCUUAUGUAUAAACCCACUUCAACCACUCCAGUACCCCUGCACAUUGAAUAAGGUAUUGGCAGUGGCCUGUAUAUACUUGCAUUCUCUUGUUUCUUUAACUCACAUCGUAGUUCUUGUGUGGAUUAUUAUUUAAAUGUUUCAUUCUAUUAGUAUCUACUGUAUCUAUUAUUAUUAUCACUGUGUUAUUGGGAAAUUGCUAUCAAGGGGAGAAUGUUACUAUACUGUUGUACAGCGGUUGUAUCUUGUCAAAGUGGCAGAUAAACGUUGACACUUGAGAUGGGAUAGCCACUUUGUAUUGGCUGUAUUUGGGAGAUUCCGUGUCUGUUCUUAAGACGUGAUGACAUUCUCUUGGUCAGAAACCCUGAAAAUCCCUGACACAGAAGUAACACUUAUUGUAUAUAUUGAACUGAUAUGUGAACUGAAGUGACAUCUACGAAGGCUCUCUGCUAGACAGACACAUUCUAAGUAUGCAGCCUUUUCGCCAAACAAUGUGUACAUUAGCCUGCUUUGCCAAACAAUGUGUACAUUAGCCUGCUUUGCCAAACAAUGUGUACAUUAGCCUGCUUUGCCAGCUUGCUGUUAGUCCACUAAGACCCUUGUCACACUGUCGUGGAGACCCGAAAGGAAACACGGUCCAGUCCUUUUCCUCCAGGUAACAUCCAGUCAUAAAUCUUUAGCUAUGUUGAUGUGUGGGCGUCAUUACGUCUGUUGUGUGUCAUCCCUCGACUUCAGUGGCACAAACUGGAGUGAUACCAGUGUCAUGCCUUGAUUCUAAAUGGAUUUGGAUUAUGACAGCCAAACUGUUGCUUAAACAACAUAACAGCCUUCACAAAGCAUCCGUAAGCUUUGCUGAAAGCUGGAAGACACAAUGAUGAAAUACAAUAUGUAGAUAUUGAGCAAAUUGUACUAGCAAAGACUGUGGAGCCUUUUAUCAUUUGCUUAUAAUGCCCAGGCUGGAAAAAAAAAAUCAACUUAAAAGUCCCUGGGUACUUCAUUGUCUUUCUGCGACAGAUACACACAGAAAUAUAAUUACUAGAAUGGGCAUUUCUCAUCAAUGAAGUGUGGCACACUUUUCAGGCAAUCACAGAUAUAAUUGGACAGGAUAGUUCCAUGACGUCAUAGCAAGAUAGUUCUAUGACGUCAGAGCAGGAUAGUUCUAUGACGUCAUAGCAGUGGUGUAAAGUACUACUUAAGUCGUUUUUUUGGGGGGUAUCUGUACUUUAUUUGACUAUUUAUAUUUUUGGACUACUUUUACUUUAACUUCACUACAUUCCUAAAGAUGUACUUUUUACAUACAUUUUCCCUGACACCCAAAAGUACUCGUUACAUUUUGAAUGCUUAGCAGGACAGAAAUGGUCCAAUUCACGUACUUCUUAAGGGGAACAUCCCUGGUCACAUCUCGACUGCCUUUGACCUGGCGAAAUCACUAAACACAAAUGCUUUGUUUCUGAAUGAUGUCUGAGUGUUGGACUGUGCCCCUGGCUAUCUGUAAAUUUAAAAAAACAUGAACAAUUGUGCCAUCUGGUUUUCUUAAUAUAAGUAAUUUUUUAUCAUUUAUACUUUUACUUUUGAUACUUAAGUACAUUUAUAACCAAAUAGUUUUAGACUUUUACUCAAGUAUUAUUUUACUGGGUGACUUUCACUUUUGCUUGAGUAAUUUCCUGUUAAGGUUUCUUGACUUUUACUCAAGUAUGACUACUGGGUACUUUUUCCACCACUGUGUAAUAGUAUCAAACCUGCAUUGCUUCUCAACUGUCACACCAAAGAAUCCAAAUGGUUACCCUGCGCCUCAGAAACUGCUGCCCUAUCUACAUAGUCAUGGAACACUGGUCACUUUAAUCAUGUCUAUACACACCAUUCUGUAUAACUACUACUGUACACACCUUUUCUAUUCAUAUACUGUCUAUACACACCAUUGCUAGGUAAUAUUGCACUGUUGGCGAUAGAAACAUAAACAUUUCGCUGCACCUGCGAUAACGUUUGCUAAAUAUGUGUACGUGACCAAUACAAUUUGAUUUGAUUUGAAACCAAACCACUUGUAUUAACAUGUUUUUCGAGAAUCAGCCAGUCUAUAUCAUUAUGCUCUGGUCUACUCUGCUACUACAGAUGUAGGAUCUUAAUUUGAGCUCGUUUUCUACAGCAGGAAAUAAUUUUGCAGCAUCAGGAAAUGUGGAUUAUAAUUCAUUGGCAUUUUUUGUCAGGGUUGAUACAUUUUACAUUAGGGCAAAUCAAAUUUGACAUUUUUCAAGCAGAAAUUACGAACUUUAAAAGCCUUUUUAAACCUUGAAUACACCACAAGUUUGCAUUUCCUGCCAUGCAGGAAAAUUAUCAUCAACAAAAGAUGGAUCAAAUUAAGAUCCUACAUUUGUAUAGAAAUGUUUGUUUCUUUUCUUUUUUGAUUAUGCAUAGCUUGGAAGGAAAAGGGAUAGGGUUAAGGGUGCUAGAGUAUAUUUUAAGUGCUUCUAACAAUUCAGCAUCUGGGCCUGUAAUCACAAAGUGUCUCAGAGUAGGAGCGCAGCUCAAGGAUCAGAUUAGCCUUUUAGACCAGAAUGAAUAAGAUUACAAGGACAUUGGGAGACCUGAUCUUAGAUAUGCGCUCCUACUCUGAGGCACUUUGUAAGUGCAGGCCCUGAUGACCACAGCCUAGUCCACUAAAAGGCCAUUGUUCAUGUUGUGGAAGAAGUAAGCUCUGCUCUGCAUCGAUAUAGCCUGCUUUGCAGCUCUGCCUGGCUAGGAGUCGGGCUUCAGUUCUGCAGUGAGUUCUGCAGUAACCUCACUGAGGUAGACACGCAAGACUUAUGGCACAUAAAUCAAUAGCAACAAUGCAAUGCAAAGCAAAUGCAAAGCAAUGGAUAUUCCCUUUGGAUUUGAAGUGGUGCAUGGGUGAAGAAACAUAAAGCACAGGAGGAUGGUUGGUUCCAGGAAGAGUAUAAGUGCAUCAUGAGGACAACAAUGUUGAGUUGUUCUAGAAUCUUGUUCUAGAAUCUUGGGUAAACUCAAUCCUGGGUCAUUUUGGUAAUGGACUUCCAUGGUUGUUUUCACUGAACAUUCUCUCACUGUAUUAAUAACCAUCAUCAUCAUCCACAUCAAUAACAGCAUUAAUAACCAUUAAUAACAGCAUAUUGCGGAAACAAGAUCUUUUGCACCUGAUCUGUUCAACAUGUAUUUAUGUUGUAGGCUAUAUACACAGAGGCACUUUCACUGAACCUGUUGCAUGGUGAGAGGGGUAAAGGCACUAGCAACUAAAGUGCAAAAUAAUGAUUUGCAAUAUUUAUUAAACAAACGCUAAUUUCAUUCAAAUUAGAGCUAUUUCGAUUGUUUUGUUUGUGAAAAUAAACAAACGUCCCUAAAUUUAGUGGUGAAAUGGAAGACAUGACUCAUAAUAUGUUUACUGUUUCU
Oncorhynchus tshawytscha (Chinook salmon) is the source of this 7696-nucleotide long non-coding RNA. NCBI's taxonomy places the organism in Eukaryota, Metazoa, Chordata, Actinopteri, Salmoniformes, Salmonidae. The record is from Ensembl.